This 497-nucleotide ribosomal RNA is filed under the name uncultured bacterium. Its description in RNAcentral is "partial 16S ribosomal RNA". It matches the Rfam family "Bacterial small subunit ribosomal RNA", at positions 28 to 507 of the family's 1533-position model. The record is from RNAcentral.
GAUGAACGCUGGCGGCGUGCCUAAUACAUGCAAGUCGAGCGAACAGACGAGGAGCUUGCUCCUCUGACGUUAGCGGCGGACGGGUGAGUAACACGUGGAUAACCUACCUAUAAGACUGGGAUAACUUCGGGAAACCGGAGCUAAUACCGGAUAAUAUAUUGAACCGCAUGGUUCAAUAGUGAAAGACGGUUUUGCUGUCACUUAUAGAUGGAUCCGCGCCGCAUUAGCUAGUUGGUAAGGUAACGGCUUACCAAGGCAACGAUGCGUAGCCGACCUGAGAGGGUGAACGGCCACACGGGAACUGAGACACGGUCCAGACUCCUACGGGAGGCAGCAGUAGGGAAUCUUCCGCAAUGGGCGAAAGCCUGACGGAGCAACGCCGCGUGAGUGAUGAAGGUCUUCGGAUCGUAAAACUCUGUUAUUAGGGAAGAACAAAUGUGUAAGUAACUAUGCACGUCUUGACGGUACCUAAUCAGAAAGCCACGGCUAACUACGUG